Molecule: ribosomal RNA, 279 nt
Filed under: uncultured bacterium
Lineage: Bacteria
Description: partial 16S ribosomal RNA
Rfam family: Bacterial small subunit ribosomal RNA
Source: RNAcentral
UGCCAGCAGCCGCGGUAAGACGGAGGGUGCAAACGUUGUUCGGAAUCACUGGGCAUAAAGCGCACGUAGGCGGUCCAUUAAGUCGGAUGUGAAAGCCCUCGGCUCAACCGGGGAACUGCAUUCGAUACUGGUGGACUCGAGGAUGGUUGGGGUGAGUGGAACUCCUGGUGGAGCGGUGAAAUGCGUAGAUAUCAGGAGGAACACCAGUGGCGAAAGCGGCUCACUGGACCGUAUCUGACGCUGAGGUGCGAAAGCUAGGGUAGCAAACGGGAUUAGAUA